This 24-nucleotide non-coding RNA is filed under the name Arabidopsis thaliana (thale cress). The record is from RNAcentral. Lineage: Eukaryota; Viridiplantae; Streptophyta; Magnoliopsida; Brassicales; Brassicaceae.
AUAUUGUGGGGAUAUGACCGUUGC